Xylaria intraflava is the source of this 107-nucleotide non-coding RNA. The record is from the annotation of a GenBank genome assembly. Lineage: Eukaryota; Fungi; Ascomycota; Sordariomycetes; Xylariales; Xylariaceae.
GGCUAGGUGGCGGAGUGGUUAACGCGGUAGACUCGAACUGAAGUCGGAGUGGGCUUCGAUGUGAUCUACUUCCUUCGGGAGCGUCUGUUCGAAUCAGGCCCUAGUCG